Molecule: ribosomal RNA, 1152 nt
Filed under: Triticum aestivum (bread wheat)
Lineage: Eukaryota; Viridiplantae; Streptophyta; Magnoliopsida; Poales; Poaceae
Description: partial small subunit ribosomal RNA
Source: RNAcentral
AUGCAGGAGGGAGCAGCAAUCUUGUUGUUGGUUAGUCCAAAGGGGCGGGUCAGAAGCCCACUUCGUUUGCUGGGCAGAAGCCAGCUGCGCCUGCAGCAAAGGAGCCUGCCCCUGCCCCCAAGCCCACCAGAUCUACAACCUCCACUGCUGGUUCCGCUCAGAUUCUCCCCCUGGAAGAAAGUGGAAGACCUCAUUGAAUUACUUGGGUUCUCCCUGCCACAAGAUGUGAAUGUGACAUUAACUGAAUGGAGGGGUGGAUGUGAACCUUUUGGAGAGCUGAUUGAAGCCGAUGUGGACUGGAAUGGAAUGUUCAGAACCUUCUUUGAGAAUGUCAGAAUCAAAAUAGCCUACAGAGAUCCAACCAAGAUUCCUUUUGAGAGACUGAUUGAGAUGAAAAAAAAGUUGUUCCUACUUGGUUUUACUGUGGAGGGUUUUGAACAAGCAGAUGGUAUUGAUUCUGUCAUUGAUUUAGGUGAGGAUGAAUAUGAUAAUGAGGAGGAUGAGGGUGCUGAGGAAGAACAGACUGAAAAAGAGAAUGGAGCUCAGGGAGAGCAUGCUUUUGAAGGAUCAGGUGAGGGUGAUCAGGCCAUUGAUGAACUAGACAAAGCUAAUUUUUCAACUAAACAUGGGUCUUCAGACAAGUAUGGUACUCAAAAGUUGGUGGUUACACCUAUGGAAUAUGAAAAUGAUGCUAAUCAGGAGGAUUUCAUUAUGAAGUGUGCUUUGGCUGCUGUUGACCUUGAUGGUGCAUCUUCUGAUGGGCAUGAACCUAAGUCUGGCUGUGCUGGUGACCCUAUAGAACAGAACCACAUUACUGAUGGGGACGAAAAGGAGGAUGAAAGAGUGAUGACCCCAAAAAAACCCUCUCCAUUUGAGGAAAAUGUUGCUUACAUAACUCCUGAGAAGAAUGCUGGUAGUAUGGAAUACUGUGAGGAUCUAUUAAGAUCAGUGGAUGUUUCUGACUCUGAAAAUGAGGAACCAAAGGAAGAAGAGCUAGGGGUUCCCCCUCUUGAGGCUGUCCAAAUCCUACAAAGGCCGAAGAUGGUGAAGUAUACGAUGUGUUUUGGACCUGUUGGGGGCAACGACCAGGCAAUGGAAAAUCCUAUAUUCAGAGGCUCAGGCUACUCUCCGGUUGCCAUCGAGCGCUGUUAA